Molecule: non-coding RNA, 661 nt
Organism: Zonotrichia albicollis (white-throated sparrow)
Lineage: Eukaryota; Metazoa; Chordata; Aves; Passeriformes; Passerellidae
Source: RefSeq, a predicted model, not a curated record
GCACCCACACUGCUGCUGAGCACAUUUAACAUUAAACAACUCUGUUUGAAGCAGGCAGAAAAAUUCCUGGCAUGCUCAUUUUCUUUGUAUUGCCUCUUCAUUCAUCUUAUUGCCAUUGUAUUGUUCUACUUCAUGCAUUGAGUGCUACUUAAUAUCGAGGAUGUGAACUCAACAAAAUUUAUGAGAGUGAGAAUACAGAAGUGUACCUAACAGGCCUUUCCCAAUAACUGUACAAGAAUGCAGAAUGAAUCAGAACAGUCAUUUACAUUUCAUUUGAAUGCAGUGCUUUCCCCAUAGCAAGUAUUGCCGAGCAUGUGAAAGAUAUGUCACCAAACCUUGCCUUUUACAUACGAAUAGAAGAACAACAUAUGUGUUAUCAAUGAGGUUUAAGUACAUGGGAAAAUUACCCUCUAUUUACAUCACAGCUGUUUCUGAGCCUGCUGCAGCUCUGGUGUCAUGGGCAAACUGGACUCGAGGUACACUGAAGCAGGACAAAUAAGGAUCACUUUCAUGUGCACAAACAGUACAGAAAGAAGUGAAGUUGAAGAAGUGUUCCUAGUAAAACACAGAGGCCUCAGGUUGUGAAAUAACAGAUCCUUACAGAUUCUUUUGUGUGGUAGUGUGUUGCUAAGUUUCUUGUGUUAUUCCCCCAAUUUAUGUA